UUAGGCAACGCGUUGGGCACCAGCUGGGUUUGUGGCCGGAGGGGUUUGCUGCAGGCUCCCCGUGGGCUCUCGUGGGAGCAGGAUCCUACCACCUGUCUGUCUGUCCACUCGGGCACAGGUUACUGCCAGAAGAUGCUUAGUAGUCAAGGCAGAUACAUUAAAACUCCUUGCAAAGUUAUAAUACUCAGCCCUUGAGUGGGCACAUCCCAGAGCAGCUGUCACCUGAGUGCACCUCAUCAACCCCUGCACCAGGUAGGGAUGGAGCAACCAGCCAAAGCAGCUCUAGGCCUUUCCCCUGCACCUGUGCUCUGGUCACCAUCUAAGUAGAAGAAAACCUUUUCCUGUGAUUAAAGGCAAUUUUCUAAAGCAUCUUUACCAUUUUGGUGCCGAGGCCAUUCACAAUGUUCAGAAAGUACAUGUAUCUUUGCAAGCAGAUGCACACAGCUUUUAUUUCUGCCCCACAGAAGUGCUGGUGCAGGUGCUGUAACACGGUAUCUGUGGGAUAGGAGUCUGCAGGGACCAGCCACAGAACUGAGGCGUUGAUUUUGGUACCGUUUACAGAGUGUCGAGGCUACAGCCCCACUCCUGCGGCAAACUGCCAGUCCCUUGUUUUUGGAGUAAGACGUGCCACUCUGGACACUAUCUGCCAAGUCUGGCUGCUCCUUGAGCUUCCAGUUCUACAGAGAUCCUGCGACUGCUGAGCUUCUGCAGCCUCAGACACUGAAAUGGGAGCUGAGGGGCUGGACCAUCCCCUUGCUGCAGCUCCAGCAGCACCUGCAGCUCCUGCCUAUUGUAACGGGACAUGUGGGUGAUCAGGAUCAGAUCAGGUCACAAACAGCUGCACUGCAUGCACCUUCCACUGUACAUCCCACAUUUUUAAGCUGUUUCAAGCAGUUCUGCUCUCCCUUUCCCAUCUUCUCCAAAGCUGAGCUUUUAAAAAGCCCUCCAAAACUGUGUGUUGCUACAGCCACCACUUCUGGAACUCAAGGUGAGGAUGUCCCAUGCCACUAUGUCCAUCCUGAGAGGGACAGAGCUACUGGCACCAGGGGAACAGCAAGGGGGACGGGUGACCCCUUCAAAACCUGCCCGCUCCAGCUGUGCUGCCUGUGAGACACCAAACAAAAUGUUUCUGGUCCACAGAGCAAUACCCUACACACAGACUUCUUUUUGGGUUUGUGACAUUAAUAAUGUCGCCUUAAACUUGCCCUGAGCACUUACCACUUCCAUCUGCCACCUCCAAAGCUGGGAUGCUGCAGUGGCAGAGCACAUCCCUGCUGGAAGUUAAAGGACAGGCUGCCAGGGAAACACAUGCAGCUCUCCUGAGCCCAUUUAGGCAUUUUUAAGGACAAGCCCACUACUUCCAGAAAACCAUCCCUAAUCAUUCUUGUCCUGGUAAAGGCUCUCUGAGCACAGCACUGCCCCACAACAGCACGGAGGGAGGGGAUCUACCCCAUCCCACCCACUACAGCCAGGCUCAGCAACAACCCACAUCUCACAGACAAACGAGAUGAUUCAGGUGUGCAGGUGAAAUUUCAGGAAUGGGGCUAUUCCUGUUAGAACACAGACAGAAAAAACAGGGUCAAUGCCCUUGUUAUCUGGCUAACCACAUUGCUGCACUGUGCAUGGUCUGUCCAGCGAUACUGGCCGGUUAUGUGGCACUGGGUGCUGCAAGAGCAGGGCCCACACAGCGGUCCCAGAGAAUUAACCAGCCACCAUGGCAAACCUGGCUUUGUUCCUUAACACAAGCAUCAGGGGGCAAUUUUUCCCUCACUGACUCACUCGAUCCUCUCCUUGCAUGUCCAAGCCAGCGUGCUUGCAGCAGCAGAGGGGAUGGUACAUGAAGCAGCCUCGUGGCUCUGAUCUCACUGUACAGAAACGGGUCCCAGAUGAAGGGCUGUCCCAGAAGACACACACUGCUCUCUGCUAAACAUAAAAGGCUGCCAAAGCCCUGGCUGCUAAACCUGACAGCUUGGACACUGCUCCAGAAGGCCGGUGCUGAGGCACACGUGACUCAUUUAUUAAGUGUACACUACUUUUUUUUUUUCUUCAAAUACUGUUAGGCAGAAAUUCCGCAGCAAUUUGCUUUGUUUCUUUGAUCACAGGAUUGCUACUCUUCUUCCCUUGGGGAAAAACAUGCCCUAAAAACAAACAAAUGCUGCACUGGAAGUAAAGAGCCCACUCCUUUGAAACCUCUGGAGAUACACUUAGAGCUGUUGGAAGACACAUGCUCAUCCCUAAAAACCAAAGCUAUCCCGAGCUGUGACACUGAAGGACACCAAGAAGUCUGCAGCAACCCCGGACUUCACAACCUUGCAAAUAUUUUCCAAACUCCUAAUCUUACAAAUAAGUGGAACAGAACAGGCAACCACUAUCAGCAUGUGAAAACACAGGGCUUUCUCUGCCAGGGCUGGAUCAGCUACUGAUGAAUUCCAAUCCUGCUCUGGGACAGCCGCUUCUUUCCACUGACAGUGCUCAAUUUACUCAAAUCACUCUGGUGGAGCCUUCAGCCUUCCCAACCACUGACUCAAACUCUUGUUGGUUUUGCAGAUCUGGAAUAAUCCCUUUGGCCUCAUGGCAGCAGGCAGUGUGAACCUUGCCUGUGUAUAUCUGAUCUGAAGUGGGACUGAAGUCACAGUUUCAAGUUUUAUCCCAGAGUGCCAGUAGGAUCCUGUAAUCCCAUGGCUUCGAAAAAGCUUUAAUUAAAAACACAGAUCCAGUGAAAACCACCAUCAAACCAUACACACCAGCAAGGCCUGGCUACCUGCCUACAUGGAUAUUUGGACUAACUUCCAGCAGAAAAGGCGCAAGAGGAGUUCUCCUCUACACCUAGUCCAAUUCCACCUACAUCUGGUUAUGCCCCCCUCCUGCACAUAAGCCCCCACAGCUUCUUAAUCUCUCUUUUGGGGUGACAAUUGUCACUUUCAAUGUGACGUACAGUCCGUAGGAAGCCUCCCACCAUCAGCUGCAGACUUGAGGCCAGACCCUCUGUGAGCAACACAGGGAGGAACAGCAUUCCAGGACGAGGUGGGAGUUUGCAGUUUGGCAUUAGAACACGGCUCUCACAUGCAGGGGGGGUUACCUCUCCAUCACCCUUCACAGGUGGCCCUGAGCUUCUUCAGCCCACAGUCUGACUCCCUGGCUGCUCUGAGUCAGCCUCGUGCCACAUAAUUGCAUAAAUUCAGCGCUAAGCCUGAACUAAUAGAGCCAGGCUCUCACGGGGCUUAUCAGCUGGGGCUGGGUGCUGCAGGGGCUCAGCACCUUCCCCGCUCCUGGCCGGGUGAUGGCGCGGGUCCAGCCGGCUCCGAGCAGGAAUGGAGCUCCCUCGCAUCCGCUGGCAAAACGCACGCGAGCUGCAAGAAGUACAGCCCUGGAAAGCCUGGAAAUCUGACAGCUUUUUGUGUAGUAAUAAUGCAAUUCAAAAAAGACUAUCGGUAUUGUAUAAAUAUUUGUACAGACACUUAUCGCUGUAGCACUCAGACACUCGGUCCCCCUGAAUCAGCUGAUCGGCUCCCAAGUCCUCGCCUCCGUUUGCAGAGCUCCGCUAAACCAAAACCGUGCAACCCCGGCGUAACCAUCCACACAGCGAAACAUAAAGCCUCUGUUUAUAUAAAUAGUCUCCAGUCUCCACCCUCCCUACUUGCUGGGAGGUUGUCAGCAAAAUAAAAUAAAAAGUGGGAUCGGAUUCCCAGCCCACUUAGAAAGAAAGCGAGCAGGAUGUAUGUUUUAGCCAAGGAAUUAAUUAAUUAUUAUUAACACAAUGAAUGCUCGCUAGGAAAUGUUUGUACUUUGCCACUGUAAUUAAAUAUUCUCACUCAUGCAGCUCUCAGCCUUCAGAAAUUAGUAUUGCAUUUUAUAGUCCAGUUUGGGGUUUUUUUUUAAUAAGAAAGCACUUUCACACUGAAUUUUUCAUUGUCUGCUGGCACAGAAAGACAAGAGAAGGCCUCUUAACAUUCAUGCCCAUUUGCCUUUCUGAACAAUUACAAAUACUUUUUUUCCAGCAGUUUUCAUAAUGAAAUGUCCUCUCCCCUUUUUGCUCCAGUACAAGCCUGAUCUUGAUGAAUAAAGUGGGUCCCAUCACCCUGGGUGCCUCUCUCUGCACAUCCGCUGGUUCUAUUUCCACCCCUGUGAGCUAAACCGCCAAGUUGCUUUAUGAGCAGGUACCUAUGCAAGGCUUCUCAGGGAAAGCUUGUUCAAGAAAGGACUGCAACACCUAACCCUAAUGAAGGGCUGGUUUCUAAUCCCUUUACUCAAGGUCUAUUUGCUCCAGCCAGCUGCUCACGAGAAACAGGCAGCAGAAUCCAGCCCUCCGUCUCCGUGAAAUGGGUCAAAGACACGCAGGAUUAUUAGUAAUUUGGAAAGAAAGCACCCAAGACGUAAUGUAAUUCCACCACUAGAUUUUAUCGCCUUUACUCACAAUGAGCAAAUAGCAGGGGAAUCACUGAGCAGAGGCUGCUCACCCUCUCUCAAAAGGAAACCAGACCCAGCUCCUUCCUGCUGGAGCCACCGCCGGAGCCAACCAGAGCCGCCGCAAAAGCCACGCAGCCCCGGCUCCCCACAUGGGUAACUAACCACCAGACCAGGUGAGCUUCACCUGCCUCACCCUUCCCACAAAAGAAAAGGCACUGGGGCUUGGGUUCGGGGAUUUAAUUUCUUCUCUUUACCCUCAGAUGGACGUGAGCAAUUGCUCCGUUUUGCCAUCCCCAGUCAUCCUUGAUUUAGCUAAUGCUCUGUUCCAGCAGGAAACAUCUUAACUCUGAAGAUCUGAUGAUUGCCCCAGCAAUCAGCUGUUCAAAUAGUUGAAAAUUAAGACUAUUGCACACAAAGUAAAUUAAGUAAUUUUCUACCCUCCUAGGGUCUCCCAAGUUUAUCAGAUUUCCCACGACUGGUAUGUCAUGAUGCCUCAUUACUGUAAAGAAAAUACAGCUCCGUGAGUCAUUUAAGUGGCCUACCCUCAAAGACUCAGGAAAAAAAAAGAUCUUCACAAACAGAUCCCACUGCAAAUGUAACAAAGAGCAGAAGACAAUCAGCACAACUUGUUUAUUUACUCCCAUGCUCAAUUCUCAUGGCUUAGGUUGCACAAACCUCUGAGAACCUCACAAAGGGUGUAUGCAGUUGUUCUUUAUCACACCAACUUUGUCAACAGUGAUGGUUUUGUUCACAAGGAUGCCAGCAGAAUCAGGGGUGAAGAAGAUGCCCUCAAACCCCAAAAGUCUGCAAUCUGAUCCUAAAGCAGGUACCACUUCAGCAUCCUUAAUACAGCAGUCCUACCUCUCGGUCUCCUUCCUAAAACUGAGUAAGCAAGGCAGCUUUUGGGCAGUGACUGGUUAUUUCCAAAUAAGCAUUUUGAACUCAGCCUGCAAAUACUCCUCCUAAAACGCCAUGGGAUGCUCUGUUAGCUUCAGUCAUUAAAACAAGCCUUCAGCAUGGGGAUGGUGCUGCGCCGCUUCCCGACGCUCCCUGGAUCCCUUCCACCCUGGCUGCGGCAUCUCAGAGAGGUUUUGUUCCCAAGCUCAAACAAGCUGGAAUCAUUCCCAAGCAUUUGGAAACCUUGAGCUGAGCAGUAAGCGCUCGGCAUUAUGGAAAUCACCUGGUGGAGGCCGCUGUAACUUCAGUUUUACGUUAUGAUUUCUCUUGAAACCCUCUGAUUUUGGACUACAUUUUUCUUUUCAGCACAAGUUCUCCCGUUGGUCUCCAGCCAGAUGUGAGCUUUUGUAAGAUGAAAAAAUAUAAAUCAGUCACUUAAUUUCAGCUAAAAAUAGAGGGGACGGGAAAACCCCACUGAUAAGAGGUUUUUAAAGCAGUCACAGGUUACCACGGGAGGGGACAAACAGCCACCUCAUGUUCACAUGCAAAUCAGGCCCUCAAAGAACUGAGCCUUUACAGAUCGAUGGGGAAAGUAAGGGGAAAAGAAAGCAAAUGCCAUUAACACAGUUAAAUAUUUCAGGACAUGCUUCAAAGCACAUCCAGCGAUCACUCUGCACUUCAGCAGAAGCUGGUCCGUGAGGCCAAGUCCCACCACGGAGGUCCAUCAGGACACAGGGGAAACCCCACCUUUGACCUGAAAGAUGAGGAAGAAACUGAAGCUCUUGGGUUCUGCAGUACAAAAGAAGGCUUUCUGGAAAGUCUUGACUUUUCUGAAAACACCAGCCACGACUGCCCCAGCAGCAGAUUCACUGAAAGCACCUUGACCUGAGAAGCCACGUUUCAACACUACUUGUCCUUUGGCACAGGUUGGAAGCACAUGUCAGCCCCUCAAGACCAGGGGGAAACAAGAGGCACGGUAUAGGUAAGGAGGUAAAAACUGUCAGAGCUUGGGGAAGAAGUAGGUACCCGCUGCCCAAACAGCAAGGCGUGUCACCAGGAACUGUGCCAACGCUCCUAUGGACUCCUUGCACACACCUUAAGCUACUAAUUCCUCUGGUUCUGCAAGCAUGGGCCGCAUCAUCCCCUUCUGCUUCUCCAGGUCAUGUCUGCGCUCACAUCCCACCUCAAUUCCAGCCACUGGCGAAGCCACACUCAUGAAAACCUCUUGCACAGGCAUUGAAAUCUCCUGUCUGGAUCAGGAAACUUCCUCUAGUCUCCACAACCAGAAAAAUGCCUUCCUUUCAUCUGUGCAGGUGUUUUGCAUUAGCACAGAAGCACCACUGGCUGUUAUCAACAUCAGCACCUUCAUCAGGAGGAGAUGCCCCGGUUGGCCCCAUUUGCCAUGUUUGGGUUCAGUGCAGCGAGGAGUUUUUGUGCAUUUUUAUCAGGUGCUUUGCAAGGGAAACCAAGCGGAAUGCUUCACCCUGGAGCGUGCCAGACAUUCCCUGAGCCCCGCUGCAGGCACAGGAGCCCAGGGCAGCGCCGGAUCUCAGGGCAGAGCUCCCAAAGACCUAAUCCCAGGUGUACAAAAGGCCGCAAGACAAAGCACGGGUCCAAACAAAAGCUGAGCAGAAAAUCUAUAUGCUGAAGAAAGCAAUGAGUAAGACUGGGUAGAAGAACACAACUACUCCUCAGCCAUCUGCUAAAGCCUUGGGGUGUUCAGAGAGGGUGAUCUGCACAUUUGUAUCUGCUGUCACCAGGCCCCCGCCUCAGCCAUGCCUUGUCUAGGGAUGAGUGGAGUGAUCACCAACUCAGAAAAGGUGGGAUUUGGGGGAAAAAAAACACACCUCGGUUAACCAUCCCAACCCAGAUAAGCACCAGGGAGAGGCUUCAAGUCCCCCCACACAAGUGUGUGCACAAAACAGAUGGAAAGAUCCCAGUGCUCAGCCCAAACCAUUUCUCCUGGCUUGUCUGCAAUACAAAAGCCUGAGAAAUGCCAGGGGCCUGCUCUGCCACCAGCUUAAUUCCAAGAGCUUCCCACUGCCUGGGUGUUUAGGUGUUGCAUUUUCCCCCUCUCUUUCCUCCUCCACCCUUUCCAGCAUGCAGAUACCCAAAAGGAGAUCACCCACCGUGGCACAAGAAUGUUGCACAAGCUGUGACUCUCCUCUGGUUAUCCCUUAUCUAUCCCUAAGCCCUGAUAAAAACCCACCUAUGACCUCCUGGUCCUUUUUAUUUAUAUUAUUUUUUUUACCUUUGAAACCAGACUCGGUCAGCUCUCCAGAUCCUAAAAGGGAGCUGCAAAAAGCCCAGUCCCACACGUGCUAGAAAUGCCACAACUUUGGCAUUUUGCUUGGAAAUGGGUGCACACAAAAGCCAACAGUGUAAGCAAAACCAAACAGGGCCAGAGAAGUUUCUCCAGUCCUCUCCCAACCAAGUCUGCUAUUCUUGGGCACCGUCAAACUGAAGGAAUCUUCCCUUUCCCUCUCCUGACAAUACGUUAUUUGUACAUGUUUACGCUGAGGAUUAAAUCCCCAUCCGGGCUGGAGAGUGUGGUUCAUUCACAGCUUCUGCUCCUCAGCGGUGCUUCCUCCGAGCUGCCUUUCCAGGGCUGUUUUGCAGCUCCCUGGACAGAGAAGGCGGCCCACGGCCAGAACCUGCGGGUACAAUCCGGUACAGCAGCUGGCAAGCCUGGGAAAUCACUUAGUUCAUGACCACAAGGACUUGGUUCCAGCCGGACAAACAUUUUCUCCGCGUUGGCCAAGGUAUGACUCUCUGUACGACUCUCUGCCCUCCUGCAAAGCGCAGCUCACCCCUUAUCUCUCCAUCAGGACUCACAGGGGCCGUUUUUCCUACCCCAGGGCACUGGAUGAGGCCACGCAGAUGCCCAACCAGGUAACUCCCUGCGAGCUCCAGCUACGGGAAGGGGAACCCACAGAGGUUCACACCACCAGCCAGGACAGUGCCCAAAACCCCAAGCGACUGCACACACUGUACUCCUGGUGAAAUACCCAAUUUCUCCCUCAAAAACACUCAGUGGAGUUUAAUUUCCCCGCCAGCAGGCUUGAAUAACAUUUUAAAUGCCAAGAUUUAUAUGCAGACACUUAUAAAUGUGUUCCAUUAUAGCCUCUGCAAAACUACAUUUCAACCUAAACAUUCAAUUAAUGUAAUUAAAUUGCUACCUGGCGGUAUUAUCUAAUUUCACUUCGGAUCUGUGCUAUUGAAAAGCAUGUGUCUUUUAGCACUCCGACUGGCAAGACAUGUGAUAAACAGACCUAUAAACAUGUUGGCUCAACCGAGCUGUUUAAAAAUAAAUUAGCAAACUAUAAAAAUAAACAGUAACAUACAUAUGUACUCAAUUAUGAACUAACUCUAAUUUUUGUUCUGAAAUACUGUCUUUGACCUUAGUCAUAAACAAGCACUAUUAAAAAAACAUAAUAUCUCAACAGACAGAAGGGCAGGGAUUAAACGCUCGUCGCGCGCGGCGGAAUGCAAAAUAAGGGAUGAAAAGAAAGAAGAAAAGAAAGAAUAAAAGAAAGAAAAAGGGGGGUGGAAAAAGCUCACCCUUUAUUAAAUGCAGCAACCUAUACCCACCGCAAGCAUUUAUGCUGAUUAAAGCUGUUUGGAUUCAAGACAAAAAACUUAAAACCCACAGAAGUGCCUAUGGUUAAAAACUUUGUAAGGUUCAGGGGGAGGAAAAUAUUGUUUUAGCUUGUGUAGGAGGGAGGGCAGUGUGGGUCCCACAGAGCCACCCGUGGCCUUUGGUUGUCCAGGUGCAAACCCUGCUACUGUCUUGCAAGAAUUCAUUCAGCGAGCCAAGAACAUGUGGCAGAAAGGUAGGAACCACCACACCAGAGCAGAGGGGGAAAAACAAACAAACAAACAGAUUUUUUUGAAGACUGUAGAGCGGCGUCCAGACCAUGUUUUUGCCAUUAAUUCAGCGCUCCCGUAAGAAAAGAACAAGGCAUCAUGCUAUGACUGUCAGCACUGUUCUGUUUUCUCUGGGAAGAAAGGCAGGAAAGGAGGAAGGAUGAAAUGCUGAUGCACAAAAGGCACAUUUUGCACCCAGGGAUAUUUUCAAGGCUUUCAGGCUACACAGCAGGCACCAACAUCCCUCCCUGUGCCCACAUGUGCACCCAUGUGUAAAACCUCACGAGAGACCCAAAAUCAACAGCAAAAGCAGUUAAGCAACUGCUAAGCUCAAUUGCGGAGAAUCAACCUAAGACACCGCCUGCUGUCGGGCUGUCUCCCCAAAAACACUUAUAUAAAUAAACAAUAGGAGGCAACUCAUGUUCAUCAACACAUGGGCACAAAAAACAGGCAGAGAGAGGCGGGUGGAAGAAAGGCUUUGCCCCAGGCCAGCUCCUCGCCAGCAGGGAGUCACGUAGACUCAGCCCCGCAGUCAGUAACGAGGCAGGGUCUGACAUUUCCACGAACAAGAAGGGCUGCCAGUUGCUGAGACACAAACAAAACACUCACAAGGCGUGUUUUUUCAAGGGAUGCGACAGGAAGGGCCCACAGGAGGCAGUGACAGCAUGCACCUUUUUUUUUAAUCUUUGUUUUCCCAAGGACCUCCUCAGCAGCAGGAAGCAGGAUGCCAGAGAGCUCCAUGCGCUGGUGGAAACACCAACUGGAUGGUAAAGGAGGGUGGAAAUGGACUGCCAGGGCUGUGCCAGGUCUCGGGAAGACCACACAGCUUAAGCAGUGUGGGAGUCACUUCCAGCCACCAGAGCUGGUACACCCUGCUACUUGGUGGGGAGCAGCAAUGGCCUCUCCUCUACAGUCCUCAAUGCUCAACAAAUCCAAAAGGAUUCCCCUUAAUUUAUGGAGCAAAUAUUUGCCAGUUCCUAAACCCCUUUGGUUUUUUCCUAUUUUUUUCUUUUUUUUGUUUUUAUUCUCCAAAUAAAUGUCUACCAUUCCCUCAAGCAACUGCUGGACACUGCUGCUCAGGAAUGACCAUCAGUGAUCAGUCAAAUACCAACCAGCAAAGCAGCAGUGCAACCCAGAGCUGCUGUCAGUGUGGUGACUUUACAUCUCAUACACCUGGACACACCAGCCCCUUCCUGGAUGUUACAGUCAUGUCUCAGUCCACACCACAGCUAUGCCCUCACUCUUCUUUCAGAGUUGGGUAUCAAUCACACAUUAUAAGAGCAAAACAAGAAUAAUAACAGGUCCUGUCUGGACUAUCCACUGUCUUCUGCUUUCUCUGGCAAAAGCCUUGUACUUGAAGCCAUGUCCCAAAGCACCUCCCCAGCCCAGUGUACCCUGAUCAAGAAGAGACAACGAUUAAAAACUGCAGUUAAAGCAACACUCCAGUUUGAAAAUGAACACCAUUUACUGCCCAUCCUCCCUGCUCUGUUACCAAUAAAAUGCUUACAGACACUAUUCAUGCAGACAUAAAGUGCUAAUGGCUACCUGUUAACGUGUUUCAUCAUGCCAACAUUUUUGCUCUGAUUUUGACAGUUCCCUUUUUGUUAUUUUAAGCUAAGGGAGCACUAAUCUGGGUUGGAACUGAAAGCUGCAAGAAUUACAAUCUACAGCAACUGCACAACUAAUGACACCGUUUCCUUCCACUCUGCACCAUUUCAUGGACAGUUUUCUUGCAGCCAAGCUCCUUUCCAGACUAUAAUAAUUUGGAAGUGCAGGAGCAUAGAAGUAGGGUGGGAAGAUUGUAAGAUGUUGCUAAGAAGUCUCAUGAAUUCUUGGCCCAGCCCUGUGUGUUUGGUGGCAGAUGGGCGGGAAGAGAGCAAUGUGAACACCAAAAUCAAACGUACUGGGAAAGUCACUUUGAAUGGCUUAAGGAGAAAAAAAAUUAAGUGGUCGUUCUUAUACGACUUCAGGGAUGUGUCUUCAGGGUUAGAACAACUGCUGGUGCAAAUUGGCCAUGUGAUUUACACCUCAAGGGCUGCCCUAGGUGUGACUACAGGUGGUUCACCAGCUCUUCUGGAUGUGGAAAGAACAAAACUCCCUGGGUAUCAUCCUCAGCAGUCGCUGACUCCAGUUGGACAUUUGGACAGGUACCUAAUGCCUGGUGUCCUCCACACUCAAAAAUGUGCUGGGCAUGUCUCCACGUGCCCCACAUGAGCACACACUGAAAAUACGCCUACUGACAUCUGCGGUGUUACAGCAGGUGAAAAUCUGCUUGUGUGGAAGAAGAGCCUGGUCCUCUGUGAUUACCAGCAGCACGGGUCAGAGCCAUGAUCUGAUUUUCCACAGAGCAGGAGAAGAGCAGAAGCUCUCUGGUCUCCAGAGCAGUUGCAGCCCUGCAGAGAUACCCAGCGGCUUUGAGCAUACACAGAGGGAUAAUUCCUUUCCCCAGCUUUGCAAUUGUUUGUUAGAGCAAAUUAAGAGUGCUAACAAGUCUUACUGGAGCCCAUUGCAAGGAGGUUAAGAAACACGACUUAUCUGAUGCAAUCAGCAAUGUAAUGCAACCUCCCAAGCCCCAGUUCAGGCAAAAUAUAUGCAAGUAACCAAAAGGGAUGGGCAUAACCUUGAGGGAAGAGUUGGGGAUGCUCCAAUCCAACCUGCAAUGUCAGAGAGGAAAGACAAGAGAGCACAGCAUGGAACAGAAAAUUCCCUGCCUGCUUUGUGUCUUUUGCUGCUUCCAAGGACUCCCAUUCUGUUCAGACCAGAAAGAGGACACAGGUUUGGAAGGAUCUCUGGUCUGACUCAACAUGGUGUAGUUUUUAAUUUUUUAUGAAAAAGACUGCUCUGCAGUACAAGCAUCACAACAGGUCGAGGCUGCCUCAUCUGCAGACCCCUUAUGCUCCCAGGAUCCUGACCACGAUGCUCCUGGGAUCCUGACCACGAUGCUCCCGGGACCCUGACAAUGAUGCUCCCAGGAUCCUGAUCAUGACAGGAUUUAAAAGCCCUUUGUUGGGCUGUGUUACAUGGUGUGAUCUAGAAAGCCGUCACAGCCGAGGCACCGUGGGCUUUCGGCUGCGCCGACGCUCGGGCUCCCCCCUUGCCUACACUGGACUUUGAGAAGGCGUUGAGCCAGCUCAGAUAAGUCAGCAAUUUCUAUCAACACCCCUUCCAAGCCAAGCUGCACAUUGUGACACCUCUUCCAGCACGGGCUGGUGGAGCUGGGCUUCACCCUGGCACAGCUCCCAGACAAAAGGUGGGCCGCUCCACCAUGCUGCUCCAGCAUGCUGGCCCACUCUCAGCUCCCCCCAGGUCCUCUCCUGGCAGCGUCCUUCCCAUCCCAAACACAAACAAAUGGGUGAGGAGCAGGUGACAGAAGCGUAACAGAUGCCUAAAAUGGUUUAGAGUGAUCUACGAGCAUCUUUUGGUUGUAAUGCUCCAUUAAUGUGACAUUUAUGUGGGGUAAUAUAAUACCGCUCACUUAGGAGCACCUACACCAGCCAGUCAGGUUUCUGUGUGCACAAAGGAUGAUGGGGAUAACUGGGAGGGUUCUCGCAUGGCCAGAGACCCUACAGAUGGAGUUACAGAGGACAGGAGGCACCACUGCUCAAAGGGGACAUGCUGGGUCUCUCCCUGAGGGAGUGGAGGACAGAGCAAUGUCUCAGGAGGCAGAACAAGAGAGCCACAAACGGGGAAAAAGCCUGGCUUGAACCUAUGGAGCUGAACAGUCCCUCUCUGCAGAACGGGAAACACAAUAUCUGAGGAAGGUCUGCCCCAGUCCAAAGGCACAGCCUUGCUGUCCAUCUCCAUGCAACCUGCAGUGUAGUUUGGGCAUCCAUCUGAUUUCACAGCAUGCAGUGUUACACUCUGUAGCUAAAUCCAUCUCUAAUGUCACAUAGGCCUUAUAAGGGUUCCUGUUUUGUUACCCUGAUUUAUAAACACCACUGCAGUGGGCUGGAGAAGGGAUGGCCUCGCAACCGCAAGCCUUCGUUACCCCCCACAAAUGACUUGUUUGCAGCUCUUGAACUGCCUAAUUUAUUUUGCCCCUAUGUUUUGGCCAUCCAUCUAGUCUUUUCCUAAUGGUGCUCUGAACGCUGACACUUUGGGAAACGUCUAAAAUGCUGUAACCCUUACAUGGCCCCGAGGAGGUGAAAGGACCAAGGGCAACCGCUGAAUCUUCCCAGAACAACAGAGGGAUCAUCCAUCUCCUCUUCCCUCCUCCCCACCCACCACUCCACCCCAGGCACUGUUCUCAUCUCAAUGUGCUUGAGCAAAACACAAAAUAAGGCGAGAUUUGGCCACCUCUGGAUAUCCAAGGCCACAGACUGUACCCGAUGACCUGGAAGGUGUCCCCCCCAGACAUUUGCUCCUACAGCUCUGCCUCUCAGAAAAACCAUCAGAGAAAAAAAUCACAAGGCCGGUUGAGUUUGGGCUGUGGCAAUGCCAUUUGGAGAAGAACGGGGAAAAUCAAUAGGUACAGUCUGCAUUUUGGGCAAAUGGGGAAGGAAUUUAAAUCAAAAUCGAGUCUGAUCAAAAACUCAAGUCAACAGAGUUCCACAGAUCUGGCACCAGGUUUCAUCAUUUAGGUGCUCACUGAGUAGAAAAUGAACAAUCAGCACUUUGAAAUAAAUGCAACAAGUAUCACAGGGUGUUGCCACCAGCCUUUUGUGGGACACCCACGAAUCCAGAAGAGGCAUCUAGUGUCACAGGGAAAAUGCUGAGGACACAGAAAGUGUCACCGAAGGACAGGCAGAACAAGCACAGAACAAACUCCUACCAACAGAUUAAAUUCAUGUCACGGUAUUUUACCCACAUUUUGCACUAGUCAGAUACCUUGAAAUAUGUGCACGCAACCAGAGCCACGACACUAGACCUUUAAAGACCUGAGAGCCGCAGAUUAAAAACAUGUUGGAACGCUUACUGUGUCCAGUGCCAAAAAUGUGUCUCUAACCUGUAGGAAGAAAUGGGUGUGGAGCCGCUCACAGAACGAUCCCUGCACUCACACGGCAGGGUACAACGUCCCCCUCUUUGUUUCUCCCUUGUGAGAAAAAACAGCGACUAAAACAUGACCGAGGAGCUGCCUCAGCUCCCCGAAUUUUUUGAGAAGUACACAGAAUCGGAUGGGAAAACGAGGUGGGAAUUACAGAAAUCCCACGUAAUUCACAAAGACUAAAGCCACUUUGCCAUGGACCAACAUGAACCACUGAUCUCAGUGCUCAGUUGGUGCUUGCUGCUUCUUUUUGGGGACUUCAGUCAGCUCCUGCAUGGCACUGAAGCGCUUGUGAGUAGAUACAAAAACGUACACAAAGCCUAAAAGUAUUUCAUUGGAAUUGAAGCUCAAUUUACAGCUCCCGAGACUCAAGGGUGUGUUUGAGCAGCUCUUUGUUGCAGGGUUUUGUCAAGGUAUGUUCUGACUUGUCCCCUGCAUGGUUGUGCAGUAAUUCUUGAUACUGAUAGUCAAUUACUUUGUUCACGUCACUCAAACACAGACUUUUUUUUUUUCCUUUCUUUCUCUGUCUCUCUCUCUCUCUCUCUCUGCACGGCUAAUCUGGGAAAGACAACACAGAGCUAGCUAAACCACUGCUGCCAAAGGAAUGAACUCCUGGCCAGCUGGGGUGCUGCUGCCCUCCAGCCCUGCCAGCACAGGUAGCAAAGUGACCUCUGGAGCAAAGAGCCCUCCUUAUCUCUCUUAAAAUACCAGCGGGCCCAGGCUCUGAGAAACUUCCUUCCCGACGGGAUAAGCACUUACCCAGGUAAUCUCAUUACAGCCAUUGUUCUCUGAAGGUUAAUAAAUACUUACCAUGAUGAGUAAAGGCUCCGCAAUCUGACCCCAACAGCAGCAGAAGUGAUUGCUUAGGGCCAAAUUUUCAUACUCUUAUUAUGCUGAACACCAUAUUCCUCUGCGAGCAGAGCAGCGUUAGCACCAAAAUAAAUGUGACUGCUUGCAAAUAAGGUGUUGGCCCCACUUCUGGCCUCAA
Corapipo altera (White-ruffed manakin) is the source of this 15143-nucleotide long non-coding RNA. RefSeq lists it as uncharacterized. The record is from RefSeq and is a predicted model, not a curated record. NCBI's taxonomy places the organism in Eukaryota, Metazoa, Chordata, Aves, Passeriformes, Pipridae. The transcript is spliced from 3 exons.